RNAcentral lists this transfer RNA (67 nucleotides) under Bos taurus (domestic cattle). It matches the Rfam family "tRNA". From Rfam's summary of the family: Transfer RNA (tRNA) molecules are approximately 80 nucleotides in length. Their secondary structure includes four short double-helical elements and three loops (D, anti-codon, and T loops). RNAcentral also lists the same sequence under 4 other names. The record is from Rfam by way of RNAcentral. Lineage: Eukaryota; Metazoa; Chordata; Mammalia; Artiodactyla; Bovidae.
UCCCUUAUAGUUGGUAAAGAACCUGCCUGCAAUGCAGGAGACCUGGGUUCAAUUCCUGGGUCGGGAA